UGUUACCCAGUAGUGUUUUGCUGCAGUGACAUCUCGGUGCUGGCGACUCGCUGCUGGCGAUGACUCGCUGCUGGCGAAUCGAUCUGCGCAUGUGUAUAAAAUGGUAUUUACUUCCGAAAACAUGCCUGCUGGACGCGCUCACUUUUCUCUGACUGAAACUCAGUUCCUGGCAAGUUGCAGGGAUCAUGUAAUUAAGGCAGCCUCCACAUCCAAUUCUUUAUUUGUACUCCAUGAAAUAGAGACAGAAUAUAUGAAGGACUUUGACUAGUAUCGAAUAGCCUUGCUUGAAGCUGUUGCAACAUCCAAAAGAAAAUCUACAGCUACCUUCCUGUUUGGUAACAAAUCCAUGUUGCGUUCAUAACAAAAUGGAAGACUUGCAAGUCAUAAUGGCCGUAUUCAACUGGUCGUUCUUCAUUAAACCACGCCCACUUGAGCAGUGGUAAUAUCCUACUUAACGAAGAAGACCUUUCGAAUAGAAAACUGGUAAAUACUCAACAAAACAAAAAGGCUACAUAGUUACCCCAAUGAUACAUCAUGCAUAAUCAAGGUUUAAAAAAAAAAAAUGUUUUCAUCCAGUUUUUAAAUUCAGUUAGCCUAUAAUUAUUUUUUGACUUCAUGUGCGUAAAUGUUAAAAUUUUUAAUUUCUGAAAUUUAAUCUAAAUUAUAUUAAUGCAGAGUUGUUGCUAAACCAAUUGGCUAUGUUUGUUUUGGUCACGCGAAUAAUGCUAAUUAACGCACACUGGUUUACAUUAAUUUUAUAUCUAUUUUACAAACCAGUAGAAUGGAAAUAAUACUCGACGAAAAAUUGUAGUCAACAAAAUGAACUAGUCAAAUAAGCCCAUUGACAAUUUAUGCAGGUGUUGUGUAUGCUAUCAAAAACCAGGUUCAAUAGCAAUGGAAUUGCUCCAGAGGAGGAUGAGGGGUGGCAACAUAACACUAUACUCUCUAGCAGUCAGGGCCCAGCCAGAGGGGUGUUGAGGGGUUUUAACACCCUCUAAAAUUAAUCGAAAUACACAAAAAAUCCUGAUAAUGUAGUAGUAAAGGUAAAAUAUAGGCCUUUAUGUAUGAUUUAUGUAUUGAUUUAUUAUGAUUUACAGAGGAUCCCGGAGGUACUGUCCAACCAGGGCCACCCCCCCUUUAAAAUAAACCAGAAAUAAUUGAAAGAAAUGAAUGAAUCAUAAACCUAACAUACUGUGAAUUGUUAACAUUCUUUCAUUACGCCAUCUUUAUAUGAUUGUAAAUUUUAUUUUCAUAUGUAGGCCUAUAAUUCGGGAUUAGAUCAAAUUAAAUCUCACUAUAUUCUAGCUCCUAUUUUGUUUUCUUGAAAAAUAUGAAGUUGAAGUUUGACUUAAAAUCAAAUAAAUAUUUUUUUAAGUGAAUAAAUUUGUUAUACCUUAUAGUAAUAUUGCACAGUAUAUAAACAAUAAAAGGAAAAUAAGUGAGGGUGUUUUAGCCUGACUUUAGUAGUACAGUAUUCUCAGAUGCAAUGGAAGUGUUGAAAAUAUGGAUAAACAAAUAAACUUGCCCUUGAAGAAAAAAUAAAAA
Molecule: long non-coding RNA, 1545 nt
Filed under: Anneissia japonica
Lineage: Eukaryota; Metazoa; Echinodermata; Crinoidea; Comatulida; Comatulidae
Description: uncharacterized LOC117124879
Source: RNAcentral